GGCAGGUAGCCUAGUGGUUAGAGGAGGCAGGUAGCCUAGUGGUUAGAGGAGGCAGGUAGCCUAGUGGUUAGAGGAGGCAGGUAGCCUAGUGGGUAGAGGAGGCAGGUAGCCUAGUGGGUAGAGGAGGGAGGUAGCCUAGUGGUUAGAGGAGGCAGGUAGCCUAGUGGGUAGAGGAGGGAGGUAGCCUAGUGGGUAGAGGAGGGAGGUAGCCUAGUGGUUAGAGGAGGCAGGUAGCCUAGUGGUUAGAGGAGGGAGGUAGCCUAGUGGUUAGAGGAGGCAGGUAGCCUUGUGGUUAGAGGAGGGAGGUAGCCUUGUGGUUAGAGGAGGCAGGUAGCCUAGUGGUUAGAGGAGGCAGGUAGCCUAGUGGUUAGAGGAGGCAGGUAGCCUAGUGGUUAGAGGAGGCAGGUAGCCUA
Oncorhynchus tshawytscha (Chinook salmon) is the source of this 413-nucleotide long non-coding RNA. Lineage: Eukaryota; Metazoa; Chordata; Actinopteri; Salmoniformes; Salmonidae. The record is from Ensembl.